Molecule: long non-coding RNA, 5086 nt
Organism: Hippopotamus amphibius kiboko
Lineage: Eukaryota; Metazoa; Chordata; Mammalia; Artiodactyla; Hippopotamidae
Exons: 5
Source: RefSeq, a predicted model, not a curated record
AACUCGUCCAAGGUUACUCAGCCGGUUAGUGGCCUGAUUGGGACUGGACUCAAGCUCUCCUGAGCGCCCUUGGGCUUACAUGCAACUCCUCCAAGGAGGCGAAUGCUGAUGCAGUCCUUUUAGACCUAUUUAUGGUUUGAGGCCUGUGCCGUUAUAAGGUCUAACUUAUGUGGGGUGGACAGUUGGAUUCGUUUUAGACCCUAUCCAUAGCUCUCAGGUACUUGAAAGAAUAGAAGUGUUUCAUCCUGCCAUCACAACCGUGAACCAGAACGAAUGUGUGUACAGCCAUGAAGGAUCCUGGUUCUUAGCCUUUUUUAGUUAUAAGCUCUCAAAGAAAGUAAUGAAAACUUUUCUGUAGCAAAAUGCACAUAAAGAAAGUGUGCAUACGGUUUCUUGACUUCCCCUCACACUGGUACAGGAGCUCCAGGGGGAGAACUUCCUGAAUUGUUACAUUUUCACCAUAUUGACCUAGGGUUAAUUGAAUGCAGCUAGCUUAUAGAGCUCUUUACCAUAUAGCUUGAGUUUGUGGAAAAAUUGCAACUCUGUUCUUGCUGAGAAGUUCCAACCAAGAGUUAGCAAGUUUCCUCGUGGUCUAGUGGUUAGGAUUUGGUGCUUUCACUGUCAUGGCCUGAGUUCAAUCCCUGGUUGGGGAACUGAGAUUCCACAAGCCACGCAAUGUGCAAAAAAAAAAAAAAAAAAUUAGGUUGGCCAACUCCCUUUAAUCCUUAAAAAAGGAGGAAGAGGUCUUUCUCUGCCAGAAAGAUCUGCAGUUCUAAAAUUGGAAGUGUGGGGACACCGUUCCUUACCCAUUCUGUGACUAGCUGAUUUCCCAUGGUUUAGUAGUCCUUCUAAUCUCAGCCUUUUGCUUCAUCUAUCAGGUGAUGAAGAACUGCCCUGUGUAUAACUUUAUUAGGAAUCAGUGAAGGUUAAGUGAGAUGAUGUCCAUGAAAAUCUUUGGAUCAUCUUUAUGAGGAUUACCCAUAUGAUCCACAGUUCUGUUUCACUCCAAGCCAACUUUCUCCUGUCUUCUUAUCAGUUUGCUGAGACACCUCCUCUACGUAACAUCAGUCAUGAUAUGAUAUUACUAGUGAGGGCAAAUGGAUUUUUAAAGUAGCUGGAAUAACAUGCUGGGAAGAUAAAUGUUUUGCAGCAAAGUUCCAGUCAAACGUAAGAUCCUUACCACAACCAACUGAAAUGAUUUUUUAGUUGAGCUGUAGGUGCUAUGUAGUCGCUAUCAAAAGCACUCAACGCUGUCAUGCAUUCAAGAGAUGCUCCUGAGGCACUAUAAUGUGAGUGUUUAGCACUCAGACUCCAGAAACUGACUGCCUUAGUUCAUAACCCAACUCCGCCACUUCUUAGCUUGUGUGAUUUACUUUGCUUUUAUGUAAAAUGGGGCUAGUAAUUGUACCUGUCUCAUAAAUAGCUUUUGGGAGGUCUUAGUGAGUUGAUACAUGUUAAGUACUAGUAACACUGCCUGGCAUAUUGUAUGUGUUAUAUAUAUAUGUACAUUGGGUAUUUUCUGUUUAGCGUGUGUUUUGUACUAAGGGAAUGGUUCUUGGUCCUUGGCCUAUUAGGGAAGAAAGACUUUAAUCAGUUAAUUUCACAAACAGAUGUAAACUUGUAAAAGUGGGAGAUGCCAAGGAAUCACCCAGCCAGGAGGCUCAGGGAAAGAAAGUGUACCUGAGAAAGGAAGGAGUUAUUCAGGUGAAGAAGGGAAUAACAACAUGUGCAAAGGCCCUGUGGUGGGAGGGAGCUUGGGGAUUAUAAGGAACUGCAGGAAGGCCAGUAUGCCCAAAGUAUAGGGAACAAGGAAUUGAGAUAAAGCUAGAGUGUUGAGUAAGGGAAAGACCAUAUGAGGCCCUUGCAUGCCAUGCAAAUGCUUCUGUCUAUAUCCUAAGACCAAAGGGCAGCUAAUCAAAGGUUUUAAAAAGGUUGGUGGUUGUAAUGUGAGAUUAAGACUGGAAAGAGGGACGAGCAGAUGCAAGGAAACCAAUUAGGAGGCCAUUGCAGUAAUCCAGAUAUGAGAUGUUAUUUGUAGAAAGGAGAAGGGUAGAAGUAAUAGUGGAAAUAGGGAUAGAUUUUGAACUUGGUAAUUAAUUAGAAGGAGAGGGAGGUGUUACUCGUGCUUGCUAGAUUUCUGGAUGGUGAUGCCAUUUGCAGUGUUUACCAAGCACGAGGAAUUGGAGGCCAUGUGGUUUAGCAGAAUGUGGAGAGAUGCACAGGGUCUUUUGGUUGUAUUUCUUGAGCUGUGUAUGGGGUACAUGGGUUUUAAUAUGCUAUUCUCUAUAACAGGAGUAUUCAUGUCCAGUGAACAAAAUCUGAAACUAAAGAGAGAAACUGAAUUUCAGUCUUACUCUGCCACUUCCUGCUGUUUGAUACUGAACAAGUUGCUUAACCUCUUAGACCUGUGAAAUGGGAGAAUCUCUGCCACACCACUCGGUGGUCUGAGCAUGAAUGGGAGCUGUGAAGUGCUUGGUGCAAAUGUCUCAUGCUGGGAGAUGUUCACCAGUAUCUGUUAGACACGUGAAUUAGUGAAUGGAUGAGAUCAGAUGGCAUUCCCUGGCUCAGUCCCCCCACUAAGCCACCAUGCUUAUGUGUGUGGAGACUGGCUGUGAGGGGAGAAGCAGUUAGGCUGUGACCUGAUGCCUUUUCCUCCUGAGCAAAGCUGGCUGACCUCGGAGGGGCACAUGCAACACGUCUUUAUGGGUCGUGAGAAGUGACGGUCUAGCUUUGUAAAAGGCACUUUAUAACUUCCUUCACCCUGUUUUCCAGUGUUAUUCACACUAGCGCUCAUGUGUACCGUUGGUCCAAUCAAGCCGGCCAUAUCAUUUCAUCCUGCAUAAGUGCUCAGCACUAUUUUAGGCCUGUCCCCUGCCUAGAGUUCCAUCCUUGUCUCUCCCAGUCUUCAAGUCAUGCACAAGUUUGUUACUUUGUUCAUUCAUUCAUCUACAUGAAUUUAUUAGAUGUACCCCCCCACCUCCCAGAUUAUUGCAGUUUAUAACAUGGGGAUGGGAUAAAGUCCAUAAGAAAGGUUCAAACCAGAUGCUGUCAUGGAGCUUAAAUAUCAGAGGAGGAGGAGAGAUUUUUUUUCCUGGUUUAUGAGAAUGCUUAGUAGACAAGGGGGCUUUGAGCUGAACUUUGAAGGAUUGGAGAACUUUGUAAAUAUAGAGAUUGCAGUGAAGCCUUCUCUAAGGCAGUGGACAUUUAUAUCUUCACUUACUAACAGGGUGAUCUUGAGAAUGCUUAUUCGAUGCCUUUGUGUCUCAGUUUCCUCACCUGUAAAAUGGGGAUAAUAGUUUUAGCCAGGGUUGGCUUAUGGGUAUGAGACUUGUACAGUCACACAGAUGCUUAGAAAUGCUGGCCCCUCACUUGGUUUAAUGCUCUGCUGUCACCAUGUUGAACUUCUUAAUAAUUUUUAAACAAGUGGCCCUGCAACGUGUGUCCUGAUCUUGCCUCGUAGGGAUUAUUGCAGAGUCCUGAGAAGAGGGCCUGGCAGUGAUGAGGGUUCAGUAAACGCUAGCUGUUAUUGUUAUUAUCCUCUGAACUCUUAUAACAGUAUAGCUCCCAGUGCACCUCAUGGUUUAUUUAACUUUUAAAUAAUCAACAGAUUUGUUUUGUUUUGUUUUUGUCUUUGUUUUUUUUCUUUAAAAACUUUUAUUGAGAUACAAUUGACAUACAAUAAAUUGCAUAUAUGUAAAGUGCACAAUUUGAUUUUUUUUUCUUAUUAGUAAUGCAUAUAUGGCAAUCCCAAUCUCCCAAUUCAUUACCCCCACAAACCCCUGCGCUUUCCCCACUUGGUGUCCAUAUGUUUGUUCUCUACAUCUGUGUCUCUAUUUCUGCCUUGCAAACCGGUGGAUUUGUACCAUUUUUCUAUAUUCGGCAUAUAUGUGUUAAUGUACGAUAUUUGUUUUUCUCUUUCUGACUCACUUCACUCUUUAUGACAGUCUCUAGGUCCAUCCAUGUCUCUACAAAUGUCCCAAUUUCGUUCCUUUUUACAGCAAUCAACAGAUAUUUUUGAGUGCCUAUUCUGUAAAGGUACUGGAUGGGUCACAAGGAUGAAUAGGACAGUACUUCCUCCCCUAGUUGGCAGAAUAAAGCAUGUAUUUUAAACAUACUGAUUAGUAAUAAAUAAUAAAAUAUGUCAUAUGACAAGUAUAGAAAUUUUUAAAAAAUAGAUUUUGGGGCUCCACCUUUAGAGAAUCUUAUUGGUAGCUCUGGUGUGGGGCUUCAGAAUCAGUUCCCCAGGUGAUUUUAUUUUAUUUUUUCUUAAGAUUUUUUUUUAAAAAGUGUGGACCAUUUUUAAAGUCUUUAUUGAAUUUGUUACAAUAUUGCUUCUGUUUUACAUUUUGGUGUUUUGCCGGUGAGGCACGUGGGAUCUCUGCACCCCCUGCAUUGGAAGGUGAGGUCUUAACUACUGGACUGCCAGGGAAGUCCUCCCCAGCUUGACGGAUCUUAGUUCCCUGACCAAGGAUUGAACCCGGGCUCCCCAGGCAGUGGAAGCGCCGAGUCCUAACCACUGGACCACCGGGAAUUCCCAGAAACUACAUUCUUGGUUGGGAUUUGGGAGAAAGGCUGGAGAGAAGCAUGGUGGACUUCUCUGGUGGUCUAGUUGUAAAGAAUCCCCCUACCAGUGCAGGGGAUGCAGAUUGGAUCCCUGGUCGGGGAGCUAAGAUCCCACAUGCUGCAGGGCAACUAAGGCUGAGUGCUACAGCUACUGAGCUGCCGCACCUCAACUAGAGAGCGUGCUGCAAGCUACAGAGCCCACACGCCCUGGAGGCUGCGUGCCACCAGAGAAGAGAAAACCUGUAUGCUACAACUAGAGAGAAGCCCGCAUGCUGCAACAAAGAGCCUGAGUGCUGCAACUGUAUGUUCCAGUUUUUCUUCAGUGAACAGAUAUACAGCUGGGCCAGAGCCUUUAUUUUGGUUUCCACAGGGAGGAACAGCAAAAGCAAGAAUUUAAUUCUGGAGUGUGAGCAGGAACCAGUUAACUACAUUCAUUGUCCAACCCCCACUGGCUUGAAAGAAGACUCCAAAUUCUUGGCAUAUGAAUCAGCUGUUCGGUCGCUCCACCUUAUCCCUGCGCGAA